This 1972-nucleotide ribosomal RNA is filed under the name Coccomyxa viridis. RNAcentral's name for it is "partial 23S ribosomal RNA". It matches the Rfam family "Bacterial large subunit ribosomal RNA", at positions 806 to 2645 of the family's 2925-position model. The record is from RNAcentral. Lineage: Eukaryota; Viridiplantae; Chlorophyta; Trebouxiophyceae; Coccomyxaceae.
GAGUUGUGGUUAGGGGUGAAAUGCCAAUCGAACUCGGAGCUAGCUGGUUCUCCCCGAAAUGCGUUGAGGCGCAGCGAUUGACGAUGAGCUGCCUAGGGGUAAAGCACUGUUUCGGUGCGGGCUGCGAGAGCGGUACCAAAUCGUAGCAAACUAAGAAUACUAGGCAUGUCCUUCCGGCAAUCAGUGAGACAGUGGGGGAUAAGCUCCAUUGUCAAGAGGGAAACAGCCCAGAUCACCAGCUAAGGCCCCAAAAUGAUCGCUAAGUGGAAAAGGAGGUGAGAGUGCAGAAACAGCCAGAAGGUUUGCUUAGAAGCAGCCAUCCUUUAAAGAGUGCGUAAUAGCUCACUGGUGGAGCGUUCUCGCGCCGAAAAUUUACGGGACUAAGCGGUCUGCCGAAGCUGUGGGAUAGAUGCUAACUAAGAUCACACGUCAGUGUGAUGUAUAGAUUUGUUUGAGAGUCUGUUUAUUUUGCCAUCACUUUGCAUGCAAAGUGAAGAAAAUGAUGACAAAACAUUCAAGAAAGAUGCAUGUAUCGGUAGGGGAGCGUUCCGCUCUAGGGUGAAGCAAGGGUGUAAACACUUGUGGACGAAGCGGAAGUGAGAAUGUCGGCUUGAGUAACGCAAACAUUGGUGAGAAUCCAAUGCCCCGAAAACCUAAGGCUUCCUUCACUAGGUUCGUCCAUGGAGGGUUAGUCGGGUCCUAAGGCAAGGCCGAAGGGCGUAGUCGAUGGAAAACAGGUUAAUAUUCCUGUACUUCCUCUUGGUAGGCACCGAGGGACGAAGGAGGCACGAGAUGGCUAAAAUUGGAUUUUAGUGGAAGUGUACAAGGCAAAGAGGACCAGAAGAGAAACUGAGUCUAAGCUGAGUCACCACACGGCCCCACAACUAGUCGAUCCCCUGUGGAUUUGCUUAGUGGGGCUUAUCUCUCCCUGUCAAACUUCCUAGAAAAGCUCGAACUGCUUUGUUACCAAGAAGAACCCGUACCCCAAACCGACACAGGUAGGUGGGUAGAGAAUACCUAGGGGCGCGAGAUAACUCUCUCUAAGGAACUCGGCAAAAUGGCCCCGUAACUUCGGGAGAAGGGGUGCCCCCGCAAGGGGGCCGCAGUGACCAGGCCCAGGCGACUGUUUACCAAAAACACAGGUCUCCGCUAAGUCGCAAGACAACAUAUGGGGGCUGACGCCUGCCCGGUGCCGGAAGGUGAAGGAAGUUGGUUAUCCCUUGGGAGAAGCUGGCGACCGAAGCCCCGGUGAACGGCGGCCGUAACUAUGACGGUCCUAAGGUAGCGAAAUUCCUUGUCGGGUAAGUUCCGACCCGCACGAAAGGCGUAACGAUCUGGGCACUGUCUCAGAGAGAGACUCGGUGAAAUAGACAUGUCCGUGAAGAUGCGGGCUUCCUACACCUGGACAGAAAGACCCUAUGAAGCUUUACUGUAGCUUGGAAUUGGGUUUGGGCCCCUUUUGCGCAGCCUAGGUGGGAGGCUAUGAGAGUCCUCUUCCGGGAGGGCUGGAGCCAUCAGUGAGAGACCACUCUGGAGGGGCUAGAAUCCUAACGGUGUUCCUUGAAACAGGACGCUUAACAGUUUCAGGUGGGCAGUUUGACUGGGGCGGUCACCUCCUAAAAGGUAACGGAGGUGUGCAAAGGUUCCCUCAGGCUGGACGGAAAUCAGCCGUAGAGUGUAAAGGCAUAAGGGAGCUUGACUGCAAGACCUACAAGUCGAGCAGGGGCGAAAGCCGGCCUUAGUGAUCCGACGGUGCCGCGUGGAAGGGCCGUCGCUCAACGGAUAAAAGUUACUCUAGGGAUAACAGGCUGAUCUUCCCCAAGAGUUCACAUCGACGGGAAGGUUUGGCACCUCGAUGUCGGCUCAUCGCAACCUGGGGCGGUAGUACGUCCCAAGGGUUGGGCUGUUCGCCCAUGAAAGCGGUACGUGAGCUGGGUUCAGAACGUCGUGAGACAGUUCGGUCCAUAUCCGA